RNAcentral lists this ribosomal RNA (326 nucleotides) under uncultured Armatimonadota bacterium. RNAcentral describes it as "bacterial SSU rRNA". It matches the Rfam family "Bacterial small subunit ribosomal RNA", at positions 28 to 351 of the family's 1533-position model. Lineage: Bacteria; Bacillati; Armatimonadota. The record is from RNAcentral.
GACGAACGCUUGCGGCGUGCCUAAGAAAUGCAAGUCGAGCGAGUUCGAGGCUUCGACCAAAGAGCUAGCGGCGAACGGUCGCGUAACACGUAAGCAACCUGCCCUAAAAUGGGGGAUAGCCCGCCGAAAGGCGGAUUAAUACCGCAUGUGGACAUUGGAUCGCAUGUUCUGAUGUCUGAAGCAGCAAUGCGUUUUAGGAUGGGCUUGCGGCCUAUCAGCUAGUUGGUGUGGGUAACGGCCUACCAAGGCGACGACGGGUAGCUGGUCUGAGAGGAUGGUCAGCCGGACUGGGACUGAGAUACGGCCCAGACUCCUACGGGUGGCAG